Molecule: ribosomal RNA, 454 nt
Filed under: Salmonella enterica
Lineage: Bacteria; Pseudomonadati; Pseudomonadota; Gammaproteobacteria; Enterobacterales; Enterobacteriaceae
Description: partial 23S ribosomal RNA
Rfam family: Bacterial large subunit ribosomal RNA
Source: RNAcentral
GGUUAAGCGACUAAGCGUACACGGUGGAUGCCCUGGCAGUCAGAGGCGAUGAAGGGCGUGCUAAUCUGCGAUAAGCGCCGGUAAGGUGAUAUGAACCGUUAUAACCGGCGAUACCCGAAUGGGGAAACCCAGUGUGAUUCGUCACACUAUCAUUAACUGAAUCCAUAGGUUAAUGAGGCGAACCGGGGGAACUGAAACAUCUAAGUACCCCGAGGAAAAGAAAUCAACCGAGAUUCCCCCAGUAGCGGCGAGCGAACGGGGAGGAGCCCAGAGCCUGAAUCAGCAUGUGUGUUAGUGGAAGCGUCUGGAAAGGCGCGCGAUACAGGGUGACAGCCCCGUACACAAAAGCGUAUGUGCUGUGAGCUCGAUGAGUAGGGCGGGACACGUGGUAUCCUGUCUGAAUAUGGGGGGACCAUCCUCCAAGGCUAAAUACUCCUGACUGACCGAUAGUGAA